UACGUAGGGGGCUAGCGUUGUCCGGAAUCAUUGGGCGUAAAGAGCGCGUAGGCGGCCAGAUAAGUCCGGUGUGAAAGUCAAAGGCUCAACCUUUGAAUGCCGCUGGAAACUGUCUGGCUAGAGUCCGGGAGGGGCGAGUGGAAUUCCUGGUGUAGCGGUGAAAUGCGCAGAUAUCAGGAGGAACACCAAUGGCGAAGGCAGCUCGCUGGAACGGUACUGGCGCUGAGGCGCGAAAGCGUGGGGAGCAAACAGG
This 253-nucleotide ribosomal RNA is filed under the name uncultured bacterium. RNAcentral's name for it is "partial 16S ribosomal RNA". It matches the Rfam family "Bacterial small subunit ribosomal RNA", at positions 524 to 776 of the family's 1533-position model. The record is from RNAcentral.